Molecule: ribosomal RNA, 301 nt
Filed under: uncultured bacterium
Lineage: Bacteria
Description: partial 16S ribosomal RNA
Rfam family: Bacterial small subunit ribosomal RNA
Source: RNAcentral
CAGUCGCCGCGGGAAUACAGAGGGUGCAAGCGUUAAUCGGAAUUACUGGGCGUAAAGCGCGCGUAGGUGGUUUGUUAAGUUGGAUGUGAAAUCCCCGGGCUCAACCUGGGAACUGCAUCCAAAACUGGCAAGCUAGAGUAUGGUAGAGGGUGGUGGAAUUUCCUGUGUAGCGGUGAAAUGCGUAGAUAUAGGAAGGAACACCAGUGGCGAAGGCGACCACCUGGACUGAUACUGACACUGAGGUGCGAAAGCGUGGGGAGCAAACAGGAUUAGAUACCCCUGUAGUCCCUGUCUCUAUACA